This is a long non-coding RNA of Phyllostomus discolor (pale spear-nosed bat), 529 nucleotides long. RefSeq lists it as uncharacterized. The transcript is spliced from 2 exons. NCBI's taxonomy places the organism in Eukaryota, Metazoa, Chordata, Mammalia, Chiroptera, Phyllostomidae. The record is from RefSeq and is a predicted model, not a curated record.
GCGGGGACAACGCCCCCUCCCCCCUCCUGGUCCUCUCAGGCACUGCCAAGGGUAUGGUCAUUGACAAGGGUUGCCAUUGCUUUAUAGAACUUGAGGCACUGUGGACUUCAAACCGACAACCCUGAGAGCACACACAUUUGUCAACUACCUGCUCUUGCUUCUGAGGAAAUUCUGCAGGAAACAUCUUGACAAAUGGGAGCUGAAGGCUUCAUCUUGCAACUGGGCUCUGGUUUACUGAGCCAGGGCCACACUGCCACCCACCUUUAAAACUGACCAUGGUGCUGAAACCAGGGCUAAUUUUGCCAUAUAGGUGUGGAUGCAAUUUAAGAGGUAACAAUGCUAUUCUAAGGGAAGCUUUAUUAAUAAAUACCCAACUGUAGGAAGCAGAGACUAAGAAGUGUUAAAGCUUCAGAAGACAGUGAGUUAGAAGGAACCUGUACCACCUCUGAGUUUUCCAGAAGACAGAUGCAGCAGCAGCACCCCUGGCCUGAGAGGUUCAACAUUAAAAAGAUUUUUCUUUUUCCUUCUU